This 75-nucleotide transfer RNA is filed under the name bacterium. RNAcentral describes it as "tRNA-Gln". It matches the Rfam family "tRNA". Rfam says of the family: Transfer RNA (tRNA) molecules are approximately 80 nucleotides in length. Their secondary structure includes four short double-helical elements and three loops (D, anti-codon, and T loops). The record is from RNAcentral. RNAcentral also lists the same sequence under 1 other name.
UGGGGCGUAGCCAAGCGGUAAGGCACGGGACUUUGGAUCCUGUAUGCGUUGGUUCGAAUCCAGCCGCCCCAGCCA